CAGCAGCCACGGUAAUACAGAGGGUGCGAGCGUUAAUCGGAUUUACUGGGCGUAAAGCGUGUGUAGGUUGUUGUUCAAGUCAGUUGUGAAAUCCCUGGGCUCAACCUGGGAACUGCUUCUGAGACUGAACGACUAGAGUACGGUAGAGGGUGGUGGAAUUUCCGGUGUAGCGGUGAAAUGCGUAGAUAUCGGAAGGAACAUCAAUGGCGAAGGCAGCCACCUGGGCCUGUACUGACACUGAGACACGAAAGCGUGGGGAUCAAACAGGAUUAGAUACCCCUGUAGUCCCUGUCUCUUAUAC
This 301-nucleotide ribosomal RNA is filed under the name uncultured bacterium. RNAcentral's name for it is "partial 16S ribosomal RNA". It matches the Rfam family "Bacterial small subunit ribosomal RNA", at positions 509 to 807 of the family's 1533-position model. The record is from RNAcentral.